Molecule: ribosomal RNA, 426 nt
Filed under: uncultured bacterium
Lineage: Bacteria
Description: partial 16S ribosomal RNA
Rfam family: Bacterial small subunit ribosomal RNA
Source: RNAcentral
UGGGGAAUCUUCCGCAAUGGACGAAAGUCUGACGGAGCAACGCCGCGUGAGUGAAGAAGGUUUUCGGAUCGUAAAAACUCUGUCUUUUGGGGGCGAACGUGAGUAUGGUAAAUAAUCAUAGUCAGUAACGGUACCAAAGGGAGGAAGCCACGGCUAACUACGUGCCAGCAGCCGCGGUAAUACGUAGGUGGCAAGCGUUGUCCGGAAUUAUUGGGCGUAAAGAGCGCGUAGGCGGGAUAGUCAGUCUGUUGUAAAAGUGCGGGGCUCAACCCCGUGAUCGCAAUGGAAACAGCUAUUCUUGAGUGCAGGAGAGGAAAGUGGAAUUCCCAGUGUAGCGGUGAAAUGCGUAGAUAUUGGGGAGGAACACCAGUGGCGAAGGCGACUUUCUGGACUGUGUCUGACGCUGAGGCGCGAAAGCCAGGGGGA